RNAcentral lists this non-coding RNA (45 nucleotides) under Schistosoma mansoni. The record is from RNAcentral. Lineage: Eukaryota; Metazoa; Platyhelminthes; Trematoda; Strigeidida; Schistosomatidae.
AUUCGGCUGACGAGUCCCAAACAGGACGAAACGCUAUUUCCGGAU